AGGGAUCUGCCUCAAUGUGGGGAGAUGCCUGAGAUUGGGUGAAGAAGCACAUUUGCCUGUAUAUAUGACCAAUAUUCUCCAAUUUCAGCUUUUUUAGUAAAUAAAGGUAUAUGAAGCAAGAAGCUCAUAGCUGGACCAAUACAAACGUUUUCUCACAUCAUCUUUUGAUGCAAGGAUUACCAUUUCAUCCAGAUUCUAGACUUUGAUGGAUUCUUUGACUUUGGGUUGCCUUCCUAGGGAAAGAGUAUAAAUUUACCUUGAAUUGGUCUGGAGCCAGAAUUUCUGACAGGUGGAGUCAAGCAACUAAUGAAGUUAGUGUUUCAGCUGCAUUUGCUGCUCAGGAUAUAACCCCAUUAAGUUGGGAGUUGACCUGGUACAACAAUAACUUCUAAGAUUAAGUGCCCUCUGCUACAUUAAUGCCACAACUUCUGUUUGAACACCUUUAUGACAGAAGCUCAUUAGCUUCUGGACAUCUAAUUUUAUCUUUGGAGAGUCCUCUAGAAGAUGCUUUUCUUUUGGGACAGUUUCAAAAUGGAUUUUGCCACCAGAAAACAACAACAACAGCAACAACAACAACAACAACAA
Canis lupus familiaris (dog) is the source of this 585-nucleotide long non-coding RNA. RefSeq lists it as uncharacterized. The record is from RefSeq and is a predicted model, not a curated record. The transcript has 5 exons. NCBI's taxonomy places the organism in Eukaryota, Metazoa, Chordata, Mammalia, Carnivora, Canidae.